UUAAGUUCAGCGGGUAUCCCUACCUGAUCCGAGGUCAACCUUAGAAAAUUGGGGGUUACUGGCAAGACACCCUGAGACAUCUAUCGCGAGGAGUAUUACUACGCGUAGAACCUCAAGGCACCGCCACUAAUUUUAAGGCCCGCCCAGAGGCGAAGCCCAAGACCCUACUAAGAGUAGGAGUUGGUAUAAAUGACGCUCGA
RNAcentral lists this unclassified non-coding RNA (200 nucleotides) under Hymenoscyphus sp. Its description in RNAcentral is "partial internal transcribed spacer 2". Lineage: Eukaryota; Fungi; Ascomycota; Leotiomycetes; Helotiales; Helotiaceae. The record is from RNAcentral.